RNAcentral lists this ribosomal RNA (105 nucleotides) under Streptosporangium roseum. RNAcentral describes it as "23S ribosomal RNA". Lineage: Bacteria; Bacillati; Actinomycetota; Actinomycetes; Streptosporangiales; Streptosporangiaceae. The record is from RNAcentral.
GCGCCAAUACUGAAUCCAGUGAUACUAAGGGUCCUUAACUCGGUUGUCCCUUCGGGGACGGCGUCAGAGUGAACGCCUGGCCUGAUCUGGUAGUAGGUAAGCGAU